Molecule: ribosomal RNA, 672 nt
Filed under: Debaryomyces hansenii
Lineage: Eukaryota; Fungi; Ascomycota; Pichiomycetes; Serinales; Debaryomycetaceae
Description: eukaryotic LSU rRNA
Rfam family: 5.8S ribosomal RNA (bases 261-414)
Source: RNAcentral
UUUUAGAAAAAUAAAAAAAGUAACAAGGUUUCCGUAGGUGAACCUGCGGAAGGAUCAUUACAGUAUUCUUUUUGCCAGCGCUUAAUUGCGCGGCGAAAAAACCUUACACACAGUGUUUUUUGUUAUUACAAGAACUCUUGCUUUGGUCUGGACUAGAAAUAGUUUGGGCCAGAGGUUUACUAAACUAAACUUCAAUAUUUAUAUUGAAUUGUUAUUUAUUUUAAUUGUCAAUUUGUUGAUUAAAUUCAAAAAAUCUUCAAAACUUUCAACAACGGAUCUCUUGGUUCUCGCAUCGAUGAAGAACGCAGCGAAAUGCGAUAAGUAAUAUGAAUUGCAGAUUUUCGUGAAUCAUCGAAUCUUUGAACGCACAUUGCGCCCUUUGGUAUUCCAAAGGGCAUGCCUGUUUGAGCGUCAUUUCUCUCUCAAACCUUCGGGUUUGGUAUUGAGUGAUACUCUUAGUCGAACUAGGCGUUUGCUUGAAAUGUAUUGGCAUGAGUGGUACUGGAUAGUGCUAUAUGACUUUCAAUGUAUUAGGUUUAUCCAACUCGUUGAAUAGUUUAAUGGUAUAUUUCUCGGUAUUCUAGGCUCGGCCUUACAAUAUAACAAACAAGUUUGACCUCAAAUCAGGUAGGACUACCCGCUGAACUUAAGCAUAUCAUAAGCCGGGAGGAA